This 481-nucleotide ribosomal RNA is filed under the name uncultured bacterium. Its description in RNAcentral is "partial 16S ribosomal RNA". It matches the Rfam family "Bacterial small subunit ribosomal RNA", at positions 28 to 507 of the family's 1533-position model. The record is from RNAcentral.
GAUGAACGCUGGCGGCGUGCUUAACACAUGCAAGUCGAACGAAGCACUUUAUUUGAUUUCCUUCGGGACUGAUUAUUUUGUGACUGAGUGGCGGACGGGUGAGUAACGCGUGGGUAACCUGCCUUGUACAGGGGGAUAACAGUUGGAAACGGCUGCUAAUACCGCAUAAGCGCACAGCAUCGCAUGAUGCAGUGUGAAAAACUCCGGUGGUAUAAGAUGGACCCGCGUUGGAUUAGCUAGUUGGUGAGGUAACGGCCCACCAAGGCGACGAUCCAUAGCCGACCUAAGAGGGUGACCGGCCACAUUGGGACUGAGACACGGCCCAAACUCCUACGGGAGGCAGCAGUGGGGAAUAUUGCACAAUGGGCGAAAGCCUGAUGCAGCGACGCCGCGUGAGCGAAGAAGUAUUUCGGUAUGUAAAGCUCUAUCAGCAGGGAAGAUAAUGACGGUACCUGACUAAGAAGCACCGGCUAAAUACGUG